CUGUACUGGGACACCACCGUUCUUACCGCUGUCCCUGUGAUUCAGCCUGACAUUAGCAUAAAAGGCAGAGUUUAAAAAACGGCCUGGGUUGGAAACGUCCCUGUCAUAGCCAGCUGGCCUGGUUUUGAAGAUUUCAGGCACCUCAUGCAGCACCACUACUUCAGGCAUUUGGCCCAGCCGCAGGUUCUGUGAGGCAUUUAGCAGCGAUGACUCAAGGAACAGGCAGAGUCUCCACUUUUCUGAAAAUUAUUGCUACAAGAUAAGUUCAGAAAUCGCAUGAUGCCACAUUAUAGUGCAAAAGGUUUAUCUGAAAUCACAAGCUUUCAAAGUGCUGCUCCUUCGUCGGUAUUAUGGUACAUAUUGUCACCAGAUGACACCCAAACAUACUGGUUAAGGUUGACUUCUGUACAAAUAUGAACUGGGACACAGUGCUAUAAUAAUAAGGAAGACUGGUGAUACCCUGAAUAACAUGAAGCUGAUAAACAAGCCCUUUUGAACAUAAGGAACAGGUGGUCGAAGCCACACACUUCUACCACUGUGAAAGCUGUUUGAACAAAAAAAACAUGUUGUAAAGGAAGGCGCGAUAUAAAGGGGAUGUUUUGUGUGGUUUCUGUGUUUGUAAAGGAGGCAGAAGGUUUUUUUUGUUUCAUGUUUGAUACAUUUAGAUGUUUCAUUAAAGGAAAAUACUGUAUAAAUAAAAUAUGUACACAAAUUAAUAUCACAAUGUCCUCUGUCGCUACAAUGUGGUUCAUGUUCCUACUCAUUAAUUUGGCAAAAAGAACUUGGGUAGAAAUGUUGCCAGUUUGCUACAAAUUGCUAAUGGUGUAUUUAUAUGUAUUUAGGGCAUGAGAUCCAUAAUUUUUUGAAAAAUAGAUUGUUGACAACUAAUAAAUGCAAAGUGCAUUUUCUACCUGGCAAGGUGAAAAUCAUCUCCCAGAUCAGAUGCUGAGAUUUAUGAAAGGUUUCAGAGAGUGGGAGGAGCAGUAUAAUGGCAGGCCAGGAUGAACAGGAGGAAUCCUGGAGGCACAAGUGUGACA
This is a long non-coding RNA of Chiloscyllium plagiosum (whitespotted bambooshark), 1037 nucleotides long. RefSeq lists it as uncharacterized. Lineage: Eukaryota; Metazoa; Chordata; Chondrichthyes; Orectolobiformes; Hemiscylliidae. The record is from RefSeq and is a predicted model, not a curated record.